This 1341-nucleotide ribosomal RNA is filed under the name uncultured bacterium. RNAcentral describes it as "partial 16S ribosomal RNA". It matches the Rfam family "Bacterial small subunit ribosomal RNA", at positions 28 to 1381 of the family's 1533-position model. The record is from RNAcentral.
GACGAACUCUGGCGGCGUGCUUAACACAUGCAAGUCGAACGGUAAGGCUCCAGCUUGCUGGGGUACACGAGUGGCGAACGGGUGAGUAACACGUGGGUGACCUGCCCUGCACUUCGGGAUAAGCCUGGGAAACUGGGUCUAAUACCGGAUAGGACCGCACCGUGAGGGUGUGGUGGAAAGUUUUUUCGGUGUGGGAUGGGCCCGCGGCCUAUCAGCUUGUUGGUGGGGUAAUGGCCUACCAAGGCGGCGACGGGUAGCCGGCCUGAGAGGGUGGACGGCCACAUUGGGACUGAGACACGGCCCAGACUCCUACGGGAGGCAGCAGUGGGGAAUAUUGCACAAUGGGCGGAAGCCUGAUGCAGCGACGCCGCGUGGGGGAUGACGGCCUUCGGGUUGUAAACUCCUUUCACCAUCGACGAAGGGUUUCUGACGGUAGAUGGAGAAGAAGCACCGGCUAACUACGUGCCAGCAGCCGCGGUAAUACGUAGGGUGCGAGCGUUGUCCGGAAUUACUGGGCGUAAAGAGCUCGUAGGUGGUUUGUCGCGUCGUCUGUGAAAUUCCGGGGCUUAACUCCGGGCGUGCAGGCGAUACGGGCAUAACUUGAGUACUGUAGGGGAGACUGGAAUUCCUGGUGUAGCGGUGAAAUGCGCAGAUAUCAGGAGGAACACCGGUGGCGAAGGCGGGUCUCUGGGCAGUAACUGACGCUGAGGAGCGAAAGCAUGGGGAGCGAACAGGAUUAGAUACCCUGGUAGUCCAUGCCGUAAACGGUGGGCGCUAGGUGUGGGUUUCCUUCCACGGGAUCCGUGCCGUAGCUAACGCAUUAAGCGCCCCGCCUGGGGAGUACGGCCGCAAGGCUAAAACUCAAAGGAAUUGACGGGGGCCCGCACAAGCGGCGGAGCAUGUGGAUUAAUUCGAUGCAACGCGAAGAACCUUACCUGGGCUUGACAUAUACAGGAUCGCGCCAGAGAUGGUGUUUCCCUUGUGGCUUGUAUACAGGUGGUGCAUGGUUGUCGUCAGCUCGUGUCGUGAGAUGUUGGGUUAAGUCCCGCAACGAGCGCAACCCUUGUCUUAUGUUGCCAGCACGUUGUGGUGGGGACUCGUAAGAAACUGCCGGGGUUAACUCGGAGGAAGGUGGGGAUGACGUCAAAUCAUCAUGCCCCUUAUGCCCAGGGCUUCACACACGCUACAAUGGUCGGUACAGUGGGUUGCCAGUCCGUGAGGGCGAGCUAAUCCCGCAAAGCCGGUCUCAGUUCGGAUCGGGGUCUGCAACUCGACCCCGUGAAGUCGGAGUCGCUAGUAAUCGCAGAUCAGCAACGCUGCGGUGAAUACGUUCCCGGGCCU